This 263-nucleotide unclassified non-coding RNA is filed under the name plant metagenome. RNAcentral's name for it is "partial contains small subunit ribosomal RNA, internal transcribed spacer 1, and 5.8S ribosomal RNA". The record is from RNAcentral.
UUUCCGCAGGUGAACCUGCGGAAGGAUCAUUAUUGUAUAACCGAGGUGCGAGGGCUGUCGCUGACCCGAAAGGUCGUGCACGCCCGAGUGCCCUCACACACAUCCAUCUCACCCCUAUGUGCACCACCGCGUGGGUCCCCCUUUGGCUUGUUCGGAGGGGGGCUUACGUUUUCACACAAACUUUGUAUGCAGUGUAGAAUGUAUUAUUUGUUUUUGCGAUCACGCAAUCAAUACAACUUUCAACAACGGAUCUCUUGGCUCUC